Pelobates cultripes (western spadefoot toad) is the source of this 399-nucleotide non-coding RNA. Lineage: Eukaryota; Metazoa; Chordata; Amphibia; Anura; Pelobatidae. The record is from the annotation of a GenBank genome assembly.
GUUUAAAGACACAUUACUGGGAGUAUUAUUGCUGUGGAGCUCUGUUAUACACUCAGACACAUUACUGGGAGUAUUAUUGCUGUGGAGCACUGUUAUACACUCAGACACAUUACUGGGAGUAUUAUUGCUGUGGAGCUCUGUUAUACACUCAGACACAUUACUGGAAGUAUUAUUACUGUGGAGCUCUGUUAUACACUCAGACACGUUACUGGGAGUAUUAUUGCUGUGGAGCACUGUUAUACACUCAGACACAUUACUGGGAGUAUUAUUGCUGUGGAGCUCUGUUAUACACUCAGACACGUUACUGGGAGUAUUAUUGCUGUGGAGCUCUGUUAUACACUCAGACACAACAACAAUAUGGAGCUUUUAGAAAAGAGAGACAUUGGGAUAGAAAAUAAG